Molecule: long non-coding RNA, 1905 nt
Organism: Pezoporus flaviventris
Lineage: Eukaryota; Metazoa; Chordata; Aves; Psittaciformes; Psittacidae
Exons: 2
Source: RefSeq, a predicted model, not a curated record
CCAGAACACCCGAGGAUGGACGUGCCUGCCGAGCCGGAGGCGUGUGGGGAACAAGAAGCCAUCGCCGCUCGUCUUGCUCCCGACGACAACCUGCCCGCCAUAACGUUAAUUAAAAGCAUAUCCUUCGUGUGGUCAGACGUGCUCGGCUCCUUAUUCCAGAAGCUUCUACGGGGGAGGGGAGCACCCACUGCGGAGCCUUUGCCGCAGCGCCCGGCAGGCGUGGUCCCUGCCGGAGGAGGAGGAGGAUGAAGAUGAUGAUGAGAAGGAUGCACCACUUCUCCCUGGCACCUCUUCCCCCUCGCUAGAUUUCCCCAUCCAUGACAAGGGUGCAGGGAGGUGUUUGCGAGGGUUUGUUUCUUUUCUUUUUUUUUUUCUUUUUCUUUCACAUAAAUUUGGUUUCUAGUUUGUUUUUUCCCUUCCCCCUUUGCUAAAUGAAUUAAAAGCAGGGCUGUCUCCUGAUGGAGAUGGAUGGGGCUGGCUCACCGCAAUGGGGUUGCUGCUCGCUUCAUCGGGCGCAGCGAGGGCAUCGAUGGCAGAAGUGACCUUUCCCAGGCGGUGGGAGGGCGGCAGACACCCCCCUGCCCCGCCAUGCUCCUGCUUGGAAUUCAUUUCAGAUAGCAGGGUCGUUAUUUUUCGGUUUCUCCUCCUUUCCCCUUAAAGAACAGCUGUUUCACUGAUGAUUGUUUUUUUUCCUUGAAGCUUCCUCAUGAUCGUGGGGGGAUUUUUUUUGUGUGUUUUCAAUUGCGUUUUUAAAUUGCCCAGCUGGAGACAAGUCUUGAUUAGAGUUGGAACAACAGCUCCAUUUUAUUAAUAAUGGGGAGGAUUUACAAUCCUACAGCACCUUCCUUGGAAGGCUUUCAAAACCAUUUGCAAACACUCCCGAAUUGUAAGAUUCCACAGCCCUUGGCUGUGAGGUGGGUAAGUAUUUAACGGUACCACCACCAGGAAUCACUCUGGUGGCAAAUCUCUGCUUCUGAGUGCUUAAAAAGAGGACAGAUUCGGUGGGGUUUAGGGCUGCAGAGCCGAAGGGGGGUGGUGGGGGUGAGUGGGGCUGGCUAAAAGCUGUAACCCAGAUCUGUUCAGUGUUCUCUCUAGAUGCGGAUUGUUUUGCUGGGAACUGGGCUGGGAUUUCUCCGCCUGCUCCGUGCAGGCAGCUCUGCAGCUUGCCAGGGCGAAGCUGUGGACCUGCCUGCUCGUCAGUAAACAUCUGCUUACAGAUUGUUCCCUCCCCUCCCCCGUUUUAUAUUGUUUUAGUUCAUUACCUUUUUGCAGUCCCCAGGUGACCUCCUUCGGUGCUGGCUCUGCUGUGGUUUGACCACAGCUCUGCAUUAAAGCUGGCCGCUAGUGCUAAUGCGCCCUGAGAGCCAGAGCAACCUUGCAUGGGGGACUGGCCCCCACCGAGCUAAUGCAGAUGCUCUGUUUCCAUGACAGAACCCUGCACACCACUUUUUCUCCUGCACAUCCCUUCUCUGACCCAGGUAGAGCAGGGGGACGUGGCAACAUUAUGGGUGGAAGCUUGUCUUAUGCCUUAUUUUUUCCCCUUUUUUCUUCCUUUCCAGGGGAACACGGGACUGUUUGUGUAACCCCUCUCCACACCUUUGUAAGUAUUACAACCACGCAGUGAUCUCAGAGCCUCCUGGGCAGUGGGAGCUGGCCUUGCGGAGGAGCGAAAAGCAUGGUGCUCUGGUUGUGUAAGUGUGUGUUGUACACGGGCCACAGAAACCCACAAUGUUUCUGUGGUUACUUCUGUCUGGAUAGCACGAGUAGGUCCCAGGGCUUCCCCUUCCCACUGCUUACUAAUUCACAAAAGCAAAGGCUUUGUGGAAAAAAAGCUCUGCCCUGUGGCCUUCACCAAAAAUAAAUAAAUAAAGUGCUGUGGAUUAGUCAUCCUCAUUGUUAGAGGAA